Molecule: transfer RNA, 58 nt
Filed under: Salmo salar (Atlantic salmon)
Lineage: Eukaryota; Metazoa; Chordata; Actinopteri; Salmoniformes; Salmonidae
Rfam family: tRNA
About the family: Transfer RNA (tRNA) molecules are approximately 80 nucleotides in length. Their secondary structure includes four short double-helical elements and three loops (D, anti-codon, and T loops).
Source: Rfam by way of RNAcentral
UGGCUCAGUUGGUAGAGCAUGGUGUUUGCAACGCCAGGGUUGUGGGUUCGUUUCUCAC